CUAGUGUUAAAAUUCAGCCACGAAGCAUGUACUUCGGAACGACAACUCUUAGUUGAUUUGCUUAUGCCAUUUUAUACUACUAGUUAGAUAACUCUAGUCACUGUGAAGUAACUUAGCUAGCUAACAUUAGUUUUGCACCCCCAAGCUAGCCUAAUAUUAGCUAGCCAUAACCAUUCCCUUGCAUUAGGACAACGAAUUUGCUGACCUCCUUCGGGGGAUUUGGCAGCAGCACCUGUACAACCACAGAAAAUGAGGUGGAGAGAGGGGGAUAUGGAUGGAAACAUGCUGUGCCAGAGGCCAAGAGUCACAUGGAAUCAAUCCAGACAUGGUUAGUGUUUUAUAUUCUCGAUAUUUUAAAUGUUUAAAUUGUUUCAGUCCUUUCAUGUUAGUGCAGGCCAUUGCCGGGGAUUGCAUGUAUCACUGUAAAUCUACUACAGUUCUAUGGGGUUUUAAACAAAUUAACCAUUCUAUUCUGCAUAGUCCCCACAGAUUUGGGUUCAGGCUGACCGCAGAAAUGAAAUGUGCCCACAAAUAUGUAAAUAAUAAUAAUUUUGGUACAUUGUCUUAAAAAACCACAAAAUGUGUGUUCAUUAUUUUUCAAGAUUUCAAGCUUAAUUACACCAGGUCAGACCAAUGUGUACUCAUCUUUGAUAACAUCUUAAAUCUUGAAAAAUAAGGAAAUGCUUUUUGGUCCUAGCAUGAAUUAGCUGACAUGAGUAGUAUGAAAAAUGUUUUGGUAGAGGUGAUCUUUGGUGUAGGAACCUCUUUUCAAAAACUGAAGCAUACAUUUGAUGUUGAAGAUUCAAAAGAAGAGAAAAAGAAAAACUGUACAAUUAUGUUCUCUAUUUCUCAACAAAUAUUAGUCAGUCAGUCAUUAGUCUGACUCAAAACAUCAUCUGUGAAUGUAGACUGUGUACAGGUAUUCUGAAAACAAAUGUAAGGAUUAUAUAUAUAAAUGCUGCUUUAAAAGUUGUUUUUUGGAUUACAGUUGAACACCGUUGUAAGACUGAUGCCCCUCUCACCCUAAUUUAACGGUGACCUUUGCUUCAGAGACGGUCUCUGCUGAUAUGUAGUUUAUUAUAUACAGUAUUUACUGCAUAUAAUGUCUUGUACUCUGUAUCUGCAAAGUCAACUCUUGGACUAAAAAAAAGUCUCCAAAACAAGCUUUAUGAGGAUACGUGAAUUGAUCUGAAUUAAUCAUUAAUUUUUAGUGUCUCUUGAUUUUUUUUCUUUUUUUGAGAUAUGAGGUUUUGAAGCUGUUGAUCAGGAAUUGCCAACCCAUCAUUCACAAGUUUAUCUAUCACUAGUUUAUCUGUUACAAUGUGAAUUCCAUGUCUUUGGCUAGAUUGUAUGCCAGUGAUCAAACAGUGGGCAAAAAAAUCUUGGGCCUCUUAUAGCCACUCCAUGUAUUUCUUUUUCAAUUGUAAUAUAAUGUCUUCUGCAAGAUCUGCAGCACUCCUUGAGUGGCUCUGAUGAUAAGUUAGAAGAAGCAGCAGCAGACCAAAGAGCUCCUCUGGCUCCCUAGGAUUGGAGCACUUGUAAUGCUCACUUUUCUGAGAGAUGAAGGGCAAAAAGACCUUGUUAAUAGCAUGCUGGCACAGGGGAACAUGGCAACAAACACCUGCAGCCAGUGUGGGAACAACUGGGCGGCUGUCGGUUGCUGAGGCUGCCUCCUGUGUCCAUUCCUCUGUGCUGAAUACAACAUCAGCAGCCACAACAAAACCUAUGUCCUCCACAACCGGGAUGCCAUGUGUGCUGAUUUCUUCUAGCCAUUGCCUCCAACCAGGUGUGUUGUGGAUAAGGCUCUUACACACUUUGUACAACUUUUGCCUAUUGAGAUGCCUGUCCACAUCUGUGGCUGUCCACCAGAGGCAUCCAGGAUGAUCCAAGGGAGGGCAGUUGCUUUGGUCACAAUAAAUGGAGGCAAUGACAUGCUGACACUUCUGUCCAUAAGAUGGAACCAGCAGAAACCUGGCUAAUUCACUGACCCAGAGAUAACAUAAGACUUUUAAAGCCCUAAAAAUCCAGUUCGAGGACCUGAAAGCCCAGCUUCAACUGGAAUAAAACACUGUGGAAUAGGCAGAUGGAGAAACCGACCAUCAAGGCACGCCACAGGCUUUGUGUCAGAAGAUUGAGGCUCUCAUGACCAACAGCAACAAAGGUCGACAUAGAAUCCAUCGAAUAAAUAAAGCAAUAGAAGACCACUUUGAAGGCCACGGUAGCAGAAUACAACAGCCUCGUUCCAUCCGAGCAAACAGUAUGCAUAGAUCAUAUCCUGGACACAGAACAUCCUUGAUCCUGGCAGAUUACAAACAGUGGUUCUGUUGAUUUCAGCAUGAAAAAGUAAGUCUUCUGUAGGAUCAUGAGUGUUCAUAGGCUUCAAGAGUAGAAGAAGAUCCUUGUGAAAGAGAUGAAGCAUCACUGGGAUUCUCUCAAGGCCCGUGCCAGUGUCUUGUCCAACUUGUCUCUCCGUCAGAAUGAAGACACCCCGCAAAGUAAAUGUGCACUUCUACUUGAAGUUUUUAUAUCAUAUGUUUACAGGGGUUAAAGUGGGAUUUGGCAGGUGGGGGGAACCCUAAGAUCCAGUGUAGCGGUGCAGCAGGGAAAAUUACUAUCACCUCAAAAUAACCAGUGGACUUGUUUUCUUUGUGGACAGGCUAUGUGAUUAGCUGACCUUCUUUUAAGCUCCCAUUUCUUGCUGUGGCUCUGGGCUGUGCUGCUGCUGCUGCUACUCUGGGCUGUGCUGCAUUUGAAUUAACCACAUAACUUCAGCAACACAUAAUGUACAUUUCCACUGUCUGAUUAAAAAAAAAAUCUAAAAUGAAUAACAUUACUUAUGCAAGCUUGAAAUUUUAUCAUUAUCACACAUUAACGUUAAUAAUGUACUUUCUAACUAUCUAAUACUGUCUACUACUAAUACUCAUUCUAAUUUUAGGGUGCUCUUCAUAAUAGCAGCGGGACCAGCGGGAGCAAAUCACGCCCCCCCCUCCCAAACCCACGCUGACAGUGAGAAAGACCAGGAGCGGAGGGCCCUUGUAGGGGUUUCCUGACAGUUGAGGCAAUAAGUCUGCCACAGCUAUCUCCCUGGCCAGCAGGGGGUGUCAGCUACCGUACCGGUAGCUAGCAAUACAGAUGGCCAAGCUGCACAUAAAACAGUUGUAUGUUUGGUGAUAUUUGUUGAGCUUUGUUUGAAACAUUGCAUUUGAAAUUACCCACCACUUAAACCCCUGUAUGUUUCACCAAGUUAUAUUUAAGCUGUAAAAAACUUGCUUACCUGUAUAGUCUCCUUUAGUGGACAUCUAACAGAGAAUGCAAGGGAGGGUCUCACCUGCCUCAUCCACAGAAGGCAGGGGGCAACAAGACAGCUGCAGAGGCGUGCAAGGCGAUUUUACCUGCACAUCCUCAUCAGCAGAUGGCAGUCAUGUUUUGUACAGAACAGAGUUCAGAUGAACUUGAGAUUAGCUCUGAAAGUUCACUCAGAUGUUGAUGCAAUGUAAUGUAAUUUCCCUCAUGUUCUUCACUGCACCUGUGCUAUAAAUGUUUG
Long non-coding RNA from Thunnus maccoyii (southern bluefin tuna), 3544 nucleotides. RefSeq lists it as uncharacterized. The record is from RefSeq and is a predicted model, not a curated record. The transcript has 7 exons. Lineage: Eukaryota; Metazoa; Chordata; Actinopteri; Scombriformes; Scombridae.